This is a transfer RNA of 77 nucleotides. It matches the Rfam family "tRNA". From Rfam's summary of the family: Transfer RNA (tRNA) molecules are approximately 80 nucleotides in length.
CGGGCCGUAGCUCAGUAGGCUAGAGCGCUUGGUUUGGGACCAAGAGGUCGUCGGUUCAAGUCCGGCCGGCCCGACCA